RNAcentral lists this transfer RNA (77 nucleotides) under Stegodyphus mimosarum. It matches the Rfam family "tRNA". From Rfam's summary of the family: Transfer RNA (tRNA) molecules are approximately 80 nucleotides in length. Their secondary structure includes four short double-helical elements and three loops (D, anti-codon, and T loops). The record is from Rfam by way of RNAcentral. Lineage: Eukaryota; Metazoa; Arthropoda; Arachnida; Araneae; Eresidae.
GCCUUCGUGGUGUAGUGGUCAGCACGCUCGACGAGACUCUAACAGAGAGGUCCGUGGUUCGAUUCCCGGCGAAGGCG